This 379-nucleotide ribosomal RNA is filed under the name uncultured cyanobacterium. RNAcentral's name for it is "bacterial SSU rRNA". It matches the Rfam family "Bacterial small subunit ribosomal RNA", at positions 376 to 770 of the family's 1533-position model. Lineage: Bacteria; Bacillati; Cyanobacteriota. The record is from RNAcentral.
GGCAACCCUGACGGAGCAACGCCGCGUGGGGGAGGAAUGUCUGUGGAUUGUAAACCCCUUUUCUCAGGGAAGAAGCUCUGACGGUACCUGAGGAAUCAGCCUCGGCUAACUCCGUGCCAGCAGCCGCGGUAAUACGGAGGAGGCAAGCGUUAUCCGGAAUUAUUGGGCGUAAAGCGUCCGCAGGUGGCGAUUCAAGUCUGCUGUCAAAGCACGGGGCUUAACUCCGUAAAGGCAGUGGAAACUGAAUAGCUAGAGUGCCGUAGGGGUAGAGGGAAUUCCCGGUGUAGCGGUGAAAUGCGUAGAGAUCGGGAAGAACAUCGGUGGCGAAAGCGCUCUACUGGACGGCAACUGACACUCAGGGACGAAAGCUAGGGGAGCG